Molecule: long non-coding RNA, 1607 nt
Organism: Ailuropoda melanoleuca (giant panda)
Lineage: Eukaryota; Metazoa; Chordata; Mammalia; Carnivora; Ursidae
Exons: 4
Source: RefSeq, a predicted model, not a curated record
UCUCGGCGCCUCCCACCUGCAGUGCCAUCUCUCCUUCAGGCCCCACCUCGCCUCCAGACCCCUUCCCCUGCAGAACCCUCAGAGGGCCCGUGGGAGCCGUAAAGGGGACAGGCUGUGGCCCUUCCUGGCUUGGGAGUGAUUUAUUGAACACAGGCUAUAGGACAGGCAUGUGUCUCUGCCCCCAUCAUAAUUCCCACCUGACAGAUAAGGAAACCAAGGCACGAAGAGGUUAAGACCCUUGCCUGAGGUCCAGCUCCCAUGAAUCUGAAGUUCUUCACAUGGCUAUAGCCAGCACAAACUUCUGGAAACAUCAACCCGAUCCCAUCUUGCUGUUGCUGACCUGCUUGUGGCUUUUUCUUGCUCUCAGAAGAAAUUCCAAACUUCUAGUCAUCUCUCUGACCUUACCUCCUACUCACUAUCUGCUGGUCUCAUGGGAAUCCUCUUCUUUUCUCUGGCACCCUAAGCUCCUUCCCACCUCAGAGACUUUGCACCUGCUGUUCCCUCUGCCUGUAAUGCUUUCCCACAGCUCUUCCUGCGGCUGGUCCCUUGCUUUAGGGUUCACCUCAAGUGUCACUCUUCCGAGUAUCUUAAUCCAAGCAGGCUCCUGACCCUCAGUUGGCUGAUCCCCAUCUCAUUGCCCUUCCUUAUUUUUUUUUUAUAGCUUUUAUCAUUAUCUGCUAUUACCUUGCUUAGUAGCCCGAUUGUUUGCUGACUGUCUCCCGCCACUAGUAUGCAGUCUCCACCAGAGCAGAGACAUUGCCUGUAACUGCCAGCGAACCCCAGGAGUCACCUCCCCGAGGAAGGACCCUUGUCCGACCGUCCCCCAAGCCAGAUGGGUUCCAUCUCCAAGCUCCAGGAGGGUGACACGGGAAGCUGCUCACGUCUGGCCACAGGGCGCAGGCCUCCAGGACCCUCUCCAGCCACAGCGGGUCCAGCUUCUGCCUGAAGCACACAUUCUCUACCACGGACGUGUUCUGGACCCAGGUCUCCUGGGGCACCUCCCCGAGGAGAGCAGACAGCAGGGAGGACUUCCCUGCCCCCACGGCACCAACAACAGCCAGCAGAUGACCUUGGGGCACAGUGAGGUUGAUCCUGGCAACACAGGAGGGGAAACAUGUUCCUGGGUAGGGCCCAGUCUGAGUCUGCGCAGGACUGGGCAACCCCAGACGGAGCCAGCAUUUCCUCUGGCUUUUCAUCCAGAGGUCCUUCCCUCUCCCAGUCCCUGUCUGGCGACUCAAGCAGCCAUCCUUCCCCAUGCACGUGCAUAUGCAUGCACACACAUGUGCAUUCACACAAGCACACACAUAUAAGGCACACAUGCACUACAGCACACACAUACACGCACGCAGCCUCCCACACAAAGUCAGGCAAGCACACACCCACGCACACCACACAUACCACACACGUGCAAACGCGAGCACGGACACGUGUGCACACGCACAUCUACACAAACACACGAGCACAUCUGUUCUAACGCAUGCACACAUAUGCUCACACCUGUGUGUGCACAUGCACAUGCACCUGCGUGUGUACCUAUGAACACCUGCAUACAUGUAUGUACACACACACACACUGCACACACUGCUGCGGCAGGACGGUUUACCGGC